RNAcentral lists this ribosomal RNA (700 nucleotides) under uncultured bacterium. Its description in RNAcentral is "bacterial SSU rRNA". It matches the Rfam family "Bacterial small subunit ribosomal RNA", at positions 94 to 793 of the family's 1533-position model. The record is from RNAcentral.
AGUGGCGCACGGGUGAGUAACACGUGAAUGACAUGCCCUUGAGUGGGGGAUAGCCCAGGGAAACUUGGAUUAAUACCCCAUGGUAUCGCGAGAUUAAAGGCGGCCGCAAGGCUGUCGCUCGGGGAUUGGUUCGCGGCCUAUCAGCUAGUUGGCGGGGUAACGGCCCACCAAGGCGACGACGGGUACCUGGUCUGAGAGGACGAUCAGGCACACUGGAACUGAGACACGGUCCAGACACCUACGGGUGGCAGCAGUCGAGAAUAAUUCACAAUGGGGGCAACCCUGAUGGUGCAACGCCGCGUGGAGGAUGACGGUCUUCGGAUUGUAAACUCCUGUCAUCCGGGAGCAAGACCUGGGGGUUAACAGCCCACAGGGUUGAUAGUACCGGAAGAGGAAGGGACGGCUAACUUCGUGCCAGCAGCCGCGGUAAUACGAAGGUCCCGAGCGUUGUUCGGAAUCACUGGGCGUAAAGGGAGCGUAGGCGGUCGGGCAAGUCAGACGUGAAAUCCCGGGGCUCAACCCCGGAACUGCGUCCGAUACUGCCUGACUGGAGCAAUGGAGGGGUAGCCGGAAUUCACGGUGUAGCAGUGAAAUGCGUGGAUAUCGUGAGGAACACUCGUGGCGAAAGCGGGCUACUGGACAUUUGCUGACGCUGAGGCUCGAAGGCCAGGGUAGCGAAAGGGAUUAGAUACCCCUGUAG